This 2921-nucleotide ribosomal RNA is filed under the name Staphylococcus aureus. RNAcentral's name for it is "bacterial LSU rRNA". It matches the Rfam family "Bacterial large subunit ribosomal RNA". Lineage: Bacteria; Bacillati; Bacillota; Bacilli; Caryophanales; Staphylococcaceae. RNAcentral also lists the same sequence under 4 other names. The record is from RNAcentral.
UUAAGUUAUUAAGGGCGCACGGUGGAUGCCUUGGCACUAGAAGCCGAUGAAGGACGUUACUAACGACGAUAUGCUUUGGGGAGCUGUAAGUAAGCUUUGAUCCAGAGAUUUCCGAAUGGGGAAACCCAGCAUGAGUUAUGUCAUGUUAUCGAUAUGUGAAUACAUAGCAUAUCAGAAGGCACACCCGGAGAACUGAAACAUCUUAGUACCCGGAGGAAGAGAAAGAAAAUUCGAUUCCCUUAGUAGCGGCGAGCGAAACGGGAAGAGCCCAAACCAACAAGCUUGCUUGUUGGGGUUGUAGGACACUCUAUACGGAGUUACAAAGGACGACAUUAGACGAAUCAUCUGGAAAGAUGAAUCAAAGAAGGUAAUAAUCCUGUAGUCGAAAAUGUUGUCUCUCUUGAGUGGAUCCUGAGUACGACGGAACACGUGAAAUUCCGUCGGAAUCUGGGAGGACCAUCUCCUAAGGCUAAAUACUCUCUAGUGACCGAUAGUGAACCAGUACCGUGAGGGAAAGGUGAAAAGCACCCCGGAAGGGGAGUGAAAUAGAACCUGAAACCGUGUGCUUACAAGUAGUCAGAGCCCGUUAAUGGGUGAUGGCGUGCCUUUUGUAGAAUGAACCGGCGAGUUACGAUUUGAUGCAAGGUUAAGCAGUAAAUGUGGAGCCGUAGCGAAAGCGAGUCUGAAUAGGGCGUUUAGUAUUUGGUCGUAGACCCGAAACCAGGUGAUCUACCCUUGGUCAGGUUGAAGUUCAGGUAACACUGAAUGGAGGACCGAACCGACUUACGUUGAAAAGUGAGCGGAUGAACUGAGGGUAGCGGAGAAAUUCCAAUCGAACCUGGAGAUAGCUGGUUCUCUCCGAAAUAGCUUUAGGGCUAGCCUCAAGUGAUGAUUAUUGGAGGUAGAGCACUGUUUGGACGAGGGGCCCCUCUCGGGUUACCGAAUUCAGACAAACUCCGAAUGCCAAUUAAUUUAACUUGGGAGUCAGAACAUGGGUGAUAAGGUCCGUGUUCGAAAGGGAAACAGCCCAGACCACCAGCUAAGGUCCCAAAAUAUAUGUUAAGUGGAAAAGGAUGUGGCGUUGCCCAGACAACUAGGAUGUUGGCUUAGAAGCAGCCAUCAUUUAAAGAGUGCGUAAUAGCUCACUAGUCGAGUGACACUGCGCCGAAAAUGUACCGGGGCUAAACAUAUUACCGAAGCUGUGGAUUGUCCUUUGGACAAUGGUAGGAGAGCGUUCUAAGGGCGUUGAAGCAUGAUCGUAAGGACAUGUGGAGCGCUUAGAAGUGAGAAUGCCGGUGUGAGUAGCGAAAGACGGGUGAGAAUCCCGUCCACCGAUUGACUAAGGUUUCCAGAGGAAGGCUCGUCCGCUCUGGGUUAGUCGGGUCCUAAGCUGAGGCCGACAGGCGUAGGCGAUGGAUAACAGGUUGAUAUUCCUGUACCACCUAUAAUCGUUUUAAUCGAUGGGGGGACGCAGUAGGAUAGGCGAAGCGUGCGAUUGGAUUGCACGUCUAAGCAGUAAGGCUGAGUAUUAGGCAAAUCCGGUACUCGUUAAGGCUGAGCUGUGAUGGGGAGAAGACAUUGAGUCUUCGAGUCGUUGAUUUCACACUGCCGAGAAAAGCCUCUAGAUAGAAAAUAGGUGCCCGUACCGCAAACCGACACAGGUAGUCAAGAUGAGAAUUCUAAGGUGAGCGAGCGAACUCUCGUUAAGGAACUCGGCAAAAUGACCCCGUAACUUCGGGAGAAGGGGUGCUCUUUAGGGUUAACGCCCAGAAGAGCCGCAGUGAAUAGGCCCAAGCGACUGUUUAUCAAAAACACAGGUCUCUGCUAAACCGUAAGGUGAUGUAUAGGGGCUGACGCCUGCCCGGUGCUGGAAGGUUAAGAGGAGUGGUUAGCUUCUGCGAAGCUACGAAUCGAAGCCCCAGUAAACGGCGGCCGUAACUAUAACGGUCCUAAGGUAGCGAAAUUCCUUGUCGGGUAAGUUCCGACCCGCACGAAAGGCGUAACGAUUUGGGCACUGUCUCAACGAGAGACUCGGUGAAAUCAUAGUACCUGUGAAGAUGCAGGUUACCCGCGACAGGACGGAAAGACCCCGUGGAGCUUUACUGUAGCCUGAUAUUGAAAUUCGGCACAGCUUGUACAGGAUAGGUAGGAGCCUUUGAAACGUGAGCGCUAGCUUACGUGGAGGCGCUGGUGGGAUACUACCCUAGCUGUGUUGGCUUUCUAACCCGCACCACUUAUCGUGGUGGGAGACAGUGUCAGGCGGGCAGUUUGACUGGGGCGGUCGCCUCCUAAAAGGUAACGGAGGCGCUCAAAGGUUCCCUCAGAAUGGUUGGAAAUCAUUCAUAGAGUGUAAAGGCAUAAGGGAGCUUGACUGCGAGACCUACAAGUCGAGCAGGGUCGAAAGACGGACUUAGUGAUCCGGUGGUUCCGCAUGGAAGGGCCAUCGCUCAACGGAUAAAAGCUACCCCGGGGAUAACAGGCUUAUCUCCCCCAAGAGUUCACAUCGACGGGGAGGUUUGGCACCUCGAUGUCGGCUCAUCGCAUCCUGGGGCUGUAGUCGGUCCCAAGGGUUGGGCUGUUCGCCCAUUAAAGCGGUACGCGAGCUGGGUUCAGAACGUCGUGAGACAGUUCGGUCCCUAUCCGUCGUGGGCGUAGGAAAUUUGAGAGGAGCUGUCCUUAGUACGAGAGGACCGGGAUGGACAUACCUCUGGUGUACCAGUUGUCGUGCCAACGGCAUAGCUGGGUAGCUAUGUGUGGACGGGAUAAGUGCUGAAAGCAUCUAAGCAUGAAGCCCCCCUCAAGAUGAGAUUUCCCAACUUCGGUUAUAAGAUCCCUCAAAGAUGAUGAGGUUAAUAGGUUCGAGGUGGAAGCAUGGUGACAUGUGGAGCUGACGAAUACUAAUCGAUCGAAGACUUAAUCAA